RNAcentral lists this microRNA (23 nucleotides) under Danio rerio (zebrafish). RNAcentral's name for it is "Dre-Mir-203-P1-v1_5p* (star (passenger))". RNAcentral also lists the same sequence under 1 other name. The record is from RNAcentral. Lineage: Eukaryota; Metazoa; Chordata; Actinopteri; Cypriniformes; Danionidae.
AGUGGUUCUCAACAGUUCAACAG